This 358-nucleotide RNase P RNA is filed under the name Candidatus Adiutrix sp. RNAcentral describes it as "RNase P RNA component class A". It matches the Rfam family "Bacterial RNase P class A". From Rfam's summary of the family: Ribonuclease P (RNase P) is a ubiquitous endoribonuclease, found in archaea, bacteria and eukarya as well as chloroplasts and mitochondria. Lineage: Bacteria; Pseudomonadati; Thermodesulfobacteriota; Desulfarculia; Candidatus Adiutricales; Candidatus Adiutricaceae. The record is from RNAcentral.
CGGGCGGGCCGGAUGACCGCCGGGCGCCGAAAAAAGGCGCCGGGAGGAAAGUCCGGGCUCCAUAGGGCGGGACGCUGGGUAACGCCCAGCGGGGGCAACCCCGGGCAAGCGCAACAGAGAGCAGACCGCCGCGAGAGAUCGCGGUAAGGGUGAAAGGGUGAGGUAAGAGCUCACCGGCCGGGCGGGCGACCGUCCGGGCCAGGCAAGCCCCGUCCGGAGCAAAACCAAAUAGGGCGGCGAUAAGGCGGCCCGCCUUGCCGCCGGGUAGGUUGCUGGAGCCGUGGAGCGAUUCACGGCCUAGAUGAAUGGUCAUCACCCCUUCGGGGGCACAGAACCCGGCUUACAGGCCCCCCGCCCC